AGUGAACGCUGGCGGUAGGCCUAACACAUGCCAGUCGAACGGCAGCACAGUAAGAGCUUGCUCUUACGGGUGGCGAGUGGCGGACGGGUGAGGAAUACAUCGGAAUCUACUUUUUCGUGGGGGAUAACGUAGGGAAACUUACGCUAAUACCGCAUACGUCCUACGGGUGAAAUCAGGGGAUCUUCGGACCUUGCGCGAUUGAAUGAGCCGAUGUCGGAUUAGCUAGUUGGCGGGGUAAAGGCCCACCAAGGCGACGAUCCGUAGCUGGUCUGAGAGGAUGAUCAGCCACACUGGAACUGAGACACGGUCCAGACUCCUACGGGAGGCAGCAGUGGGGAAUAUUGGACAAUGGGCGCAAGCCUGAUCCAGCCAUACCGCGUGGGUGAAGAAGGCCUUCGGGUUGUAAAGCCCUUUUGUUGGGAAAGAAAAGCAGCAGGUUAAUACCCCGCUGUUCUGACGGUACCCAAAGAAUAGGCACCGGCUAACUUCGUG
This 492-nucleotide ribosomal RNA is filed under the name uncultured bacterium. RNAcentral's name for it is "partial 16S ribosomal RNA". It matches the Rfam family "Bacterial small subunit ribosomal RNA", at positions 29 to 507 of the family's 1533-position model. The record is from RNAcentral.